GGAGCCCCAGGGGAGGGGGAGCCCCGGGGGGAGACGGGAGGGAGGAGGGGAGCAUGGCGGACGGAGAGCCCCUCGUCCCUGGCCGGCCCCCAGCGGGCUACUCUCCUGAGAGCCCACUGCGCCUGCUCAGUAACCCAGGGGGCUCCCCAUCACCUGGAGUUCCCCAACCGUUUGGAUGCCCCCUGGCACUCAGCCAGCUCCAGCCCCACCCGUCUGUAGCUGGCCAGGGGGCUCUCCGGGGCAGCUGUCCCCAGAGUGGGAGCUCCAGGUUGCUGGCAUCCUGCCACCCCUGGGGCCACGUCAACAGGACGCACGUGCUCCACUCACACAGCCACCUGCCACCAGGGCGCUGAGAAAUGGUGGUGAGCCAGAGAGGCCCCCCAGCACUCAAGUCUGGUCCCCGCAGGGCUUCUCUCUGGGCUGUUGAUGCACC
RNAcentral lists this long non-coding RNA (433 nucleotides) under Equus caballus (horse). Its description in RNAcentral is "lncRNA (ENSECAG00000053948.1)". Lineage: Eukaryota; Metazoa; Chordata; Mammalia; Perissodactyla; Equidae. The record is from RNAcentral.